UGCAAGUCGAACGAUGAUCCCAGCUAGCUGGGGGAUUAGUGGCGAACGGGUGAGUAACACGUGAGUAACCUGCCCUUGACUCUGGGAUAAGCCUGGGAAACUGGGUCUAAUACCGGAUACGACCAUCUGGCGCAUGUCAUGGUGGUGGAAAGCUUUUGUGGUUUUGGAUGGACUCGCGGCCUAUCAGCUUGUUGGUGGGGUAAUGGCCUACCAAGGCGACGACGGGUAGCCGGCCUGAGAGGGUGACCGGCCACACUGGGACUGAGACACGGCCCAGACUCCUACGGGAGGCAGCAGUGGGGAAUAUUGCACAAUGGGCGCAAGCCUGAUGCAGCGACGCCGCGUGAGGGAUGACGGCCUUCGGGUUGUAAACCUCUUUCAGUAGGGAAGAAGCGUAAGUGACGGUACCUGCAGAAGAAGCGCCGGCUAACUACGUGCCAGCAGCCGCGGUAAUACGUAGGGCGCAAGCGUUAUCCGGAAUUAUUGGGCGUAAAGAGCUCGUAGGCGGUUUGUCGCGUCUGCUGUGAAAGACCGGGGCUCAACUCCGGUUCUGCAGUGGGUACGGGCAGACUAGAGUGCAGUAGGGGAGACUGGAAUUCCUGGUGUAGCGGUGAAAUGCGCAGAUAUCAGGAGGAACACCGAUGGCGAAGGCAGGUCUCUGGGCUGUAACUGACGCUGAGGAGCGAAAGCAUGGGGAGCGAACAGGAUUAGAUACCCUGGUAGAAGGGC
RNAcentral lists this ribosomal RNA (729 nucleotides) under uncultured Arthrobacter sp. RNAcentral describes it as "bacterial SSU rRNA". It matches the Rfam family "Bacterial small subunit ribosomal RNA", at positions 56 to 795 of the family's 1533-position model. The record is from RNAcentral. Lineage: Bacteria; Bacillati; Actinomycetota; Actinomycetes; Micrococcales; Micrococcaceae.